CCCUUAGAUGUUCUGGGCCGCACGCGUGCUACACUGAGUGGAUCAGCGGGUCAGGUUGCGCGAAAGUGUUUCCUAAUCUUUAAAUCCGCUCGUGAUGGGGAUUGACGGUUGCAAUUUUCCGUCAUGAACGAGGAAUACCUUGUAAGCGCGGGUCAUCAUCCCGCGCUGAAUACGUCCCUGCCCUUUGUACACACCGCCCGUCGCUCCUACCGAUUGAGUGGUCCGGUGAGGCUUUGGGAUCUGAGCGGAAAGAGCGUUUCGCUGUUUCUGCCCGGAAAACUCAGUCGAACCUUAUCAUCUAGAGGAAGGAGAAGUCGUAACA
Molecule: ribosomal RNA, 322 nt
Filed under: uncultured eukaryote
Lineage: Eukaryota
Description: partial 18S ribosomal RNA
Rfam family: Eukaryotic small subunit ribosomal RNA
Source: RNAcentral